Molecule: small nuclear RNA, 98 nt
Filed under: Cephalotus follicularis
Lineage: Eukaryota; Viridiplantae; Streptophyta; Magnoliopsida; Oxalidales; Cephalotaceae
Source: RNAcentral
GUUUUGGACAUCCGAUAAAAUUGGAACGAUACAAAAAAGAUUAGCAUAACCCCUACGUAAAUAUGACACACAUUAAUCGAGAAAUGGUCCAAAUUUUU